Non-coding RNA from Hordeum vulgare subsp. vulgare (domesticated barley), 134 nucleotides. NCBI's taxonomy places the organism in Eukaryota, Viridiplantae, Streptophyta, Magnoliopsida, Poales, Poaceae. The record is from Rfam.
UAUCUACUCCCUCCGCCCGGGAAUUCUUAUCUUAGAUUUGUCUAGAUAUGAAUGUAUCUAGUCACAUUAUAGUAUUUAGAUACAUUCAUUUCUAGAAACUUAAGACAAGAAUUUUGGGACGAAGGGAGUAAUAC